AACGUAGGUGGCGAGCGUUAUCCGGAUUUACUGGGCGUAAAGCGUGUGCAGGUGGCUUAUCAAGUGGUGUAUGAAAUAUCCAGGCUCAACCUGGAGGGGUUAUGCCAGACUGGUAGGCUAGAGUGCGAGAGAGGGGCGUGGAAUUCCGGGUGUAGUGGUGAAAUGCGUAGAGAUCCGGAGGAACCCCAGAGGCGAAGGCGGCGCCCUGGCUCGACACUGACGCUCAGACACGACAGCAUGGGGAGCGAACGGG
Molecule: ribosomal RNA, 253 nt
Filed under: uncultured bacterium
Lineage: Bacteria
Description: partial 16S ribosomal RNA
Rfam family: Bacterial small subunit ribosomal RNA
Source: RNAcentral